UGAGGAACAUGACCUUCGGCGGGGGGAUAGCCGGCCCAACGGCCGGGUAAUACCGCGUACGACCACAUGGGGACAUCCCUGAGUGGUGAAAGCAGCAAUGCGCCGAUGGAGUGCCUCGCGGCCUAUCAGCUAGUUGGUGUGGGUAAUGGCUCACCAAGGCUUCGGACGGGUAGCCGGCCUGAGGAGGGCCGACCCGGCCACACGUGGGACUGAGAUACGGCCCAGACCUCCGUACGGGAGCAG
This 243-nucleotide ribosomal RNA is filed under the name uncultured bacterium. Its description in RNAcentral is "partial 16S ribosomal RNA". It matches the Rfam family "Bacterial small subunit ribosomal RNA", at positions 118 to 347 of the family's 1533-position model. The record is from RNAcentral.